Molecule: long non-coding RNA, 44257 nt
Filed under: Sorghum bicolor (sorghum)
Lineage: Eukaryota; Viridiplantae; Streptophyta; Magnoliopsida; Poales; Poaceae
Description: long non-coding RNA (SBIC_LNC007590)
Source: RNAcentral
UUUCUUUUUACUGUAAACAGGAGGGGUUUCCCCCUGCUGUGUAUUUAUUUAUUAAGAAAAUGCGAACCAGCUUACAUAAAAGUUCAAGAGACAAAAAAAGGGAAAGAAAGUAAACAAAUAAGCAAAAAUUACAAGAUGGCUUCUAGCCAUUGUUGUAUGGAAGGAAAGUAUAUGUUAUAUGGAUGUAAAUAAGUACUUCUUUGCUCUGUGAAUAACCAGAGCAAACUCCAAUGCCAUAUAUAUUACACAUACAUGAUAGCCGGAGCUUGCAUUCACAUAUAUGUUCCUCACCCAACGCUAGUUGCAGUAGUUUUUUCUAGCAGGUAUAUGUAGGGGGAGAGAUCGAUCGAGAUGGAUGAUGCCAACAAUGGAUACAUCAGCAGCAUAUAUAGAAGCAAAGGAACCAACAGCAGCAAAAGGUGAAAAAAAGAAGAAGAAAGAAACCAAGGUGUGUGUGUGACCCCAAGGAUGCAAAACCGAACGAACAGGUUGAGAGGCAGCAGCAGGCAGCCAUAUGCCAUUAGCUCACGCAGGAGCUAGCUAGCAGUUUAAUCACUCGCUGCCCGCGGGCUUGUAGGCGAUGAAGCUGACGCACUGCGUCUGCUUGAUGUUGUCGAAGCCGAGGAUCCGGACGUAGGCGUCCGGGUAGGAGGCGAUGGCCUCCUGCAGCUCCUUGUAGACCUGCGACGCGUCGGUGCAGCCGAACAUGGGCAGCUUCCACAUGGUCCAGUAGCGGCCGUCGUAGUAGCACGGGGAGGUGGAGUUCUCGCGGUACACGAAGCCUUCCUUGCUGAACUCGAGGCAGGGCACCCAGUUGUUGCGCAGCAGGUAGUCCACCUGCUUCAGCAGCUGCUCCUCCGUCAGCGGCGGCAGGUACGACAGCGUCUCGAACUUCUUGUUCCCGUACGCCGGCCACACCUGCAAAUUAAUGCAUGCAUCGAUCGAUGUACGUGUUUGUGGUUGCAUUUCGCUAGCUCUGCUGCAAAGAAUGAAUGAAGAUGGCCGGCCGGAGCCAAGAACGAAAGGCCAACUAGCUCUUGUGUUAAUUAUGUUGUUAUUACCUGCAUGCACCGGAUCCUGCCGCCGUUGCUGACUUUGGCGAGGCUGGUGGUGGAGCGGCGGGCGACGGGGAGGGUGGCGGUGGACUUGAGACCCUGGAACGGAGCGACGGCGGUGGCGGACGAGGCCAUCACGGUGGGCGCCAUUGCUGCUGCUAUGUAGUACUAGUAGCUAGUGAGGGAGCGAGCUGAGAGUGAGCUGCUUGCUGUUUUUGCUGCUUCUUGCUGCUUGGGUCGUCCUGUAGGCUCCCCCACCGAGGGCAUAUAUAGAAGAGGCAGCGAGCGUGCGUCCAUGGCGACGGAUGGCUGUCGUUGGGGCAAGGACGGAUCGGACGAAUGAAGCGGAUGUGGGAGGAGUGGCCACCGUUGUCCCAUGGCGGGCAACCCGGCCAGCCUGGCCUAUCCUGAUCGCGUCCGCCGCCACAUGUCGCGUCCCCGUGGCGCGCCUUAUCGUCUCAGCCAGCCAACAUGUCCAUGGAGCCACGCCACGCCACGCCAUGGUUGGACUAUAUGUGAUGUGCCACCACUUUAAUUAUUUGUAGAUAGAUAGAUAGAUAGAUAAGCUAGCCGCAGGUAGUAGUGCAGUGGUGAAAGUCACUACUACUGACUGCAAACCAAAAUUUCCCUGGCCGUGCCCGGACUCGCUCGCUGUCUCCGAUUAAACCUAGGUAUAUGUUGAGCAGGACGUCCCCUGGCCGUCGCCAUGGCCGGACUCGCUCGAUCUCUAGGAUCCGAGGUGGUCCUGCUCUGCUCCGUCGUCGGCGAAGAUGAAGACACACCCACUCGUCGUCCCCUUCCUCAUGCAAAUCUGCGCCGCACAAGCUGUUUCCAAAAUUUCGCUGGCCGUGGCCGGACUCGCUCGCUAUCUAUCUCCGGUCUCCCGUCGCCGAUCAAACCGAUCGAGCAGGACGUCGCCGCCGUGGCCGGACUCGCCCUCUAGCUCGUCGUCCACGAUCGAGCCAGGAUCCGGCCGAGGUGGUCGUGGUCCUGCUGCUCGGUCGGUGAAUGACUGACUCGUCCCCUUCCUCCUGCUGCAAAUCUCCGCCGGACGCAUGCAUCCGCCGUCUCUCUCAAGCAGAAGCAGUUCCAUUCAGCUCGAUCGUCGUGGUUUGUGAAAGGAUAAGUGAAGAACGACGACAAUGGAAGGGGAAAAAAAGACAAACAGUUUUGGGCUUGGGCUUGCUUCGGCUGCGUCUGCUUGCUCUUCGCCUCUAGUGCUCUCGUCCCUCUCACAUGUUCUACUACAUUCUACACGGACGGCUGCUCCGGACCACCUGAUGAUGCACUGAUGAUCACGGCCUGUUUGGAUCUAUAGAAUUAAUUGGGCUGAAUUUGGAAUCAGUUUCAUGGGUCUCGGCUAGUUUGGCUGCGCAUUGAACUGGAAAGUGACAUUCCAAGCUGUUCCAGAGCCUGAAUUUGUGGCCUAGCUACCUCAAAUUCAUGGGCUAUCCAAGACAAAACGAGUCCGCCUCCUCAUUGUCUUCAUCGGGCGUACGACGCUUCAUUCCUCAACCAUUUGACCUGUUCUAUAUUUCUAAAAAGAAAAGCCGCCCGCCUUGACCAUUACGAAAAAUACAUAAACGAUUCGCUAAAGUUGCAUUUAAAUUCCCCACGUUUGUCAUUUCUAAAGAUAAAUUUAAAAAGCCUUCUAAAUUGCAAUUAAUUACCGAAACAUGCCUAAAAAUGCGUCUGCAUUUUUUUUUACUAUGAAAGGUACUAGACACAUAUUCACGCAUUGCCGCGGGAUUUUCUUAAAAAUAAUCUGUUUUGUAUAUAGCAAUGCUAUAUGGUAUUCUGUAUAUUGUGUGUAUAUUUAUGAAUUUGACUUGCAUGUUAUUUUAUUGUAUCGGAUCUAGUAAAAAAACAAUAAGCUAAUAGAAAAAACCAAUAAAAUAGUUGAUUGCGUUAUACAAGAAUAGGUGAUGAAACAAAUAACAUAUGUAAAUAACUUUACAUCUACAUAAUAGAGAUGAUGAGGAUAUUUUUUGUAAUUAAUAAGGGAUGACAUUUACGUUAAUAGGUUAGAGAUUAAAAGUAUUGCACAUAAUAAAGAUGAUGUGAAUAUAUUUUAUAAUUAAUAAGAGAUAUUGUGUAAUUCGAAAAAAAGGAUGCAUGACAUGGAUAGCUUGCAUGAAAGGAUUGCAAGUUAGUGGGACACUUAUGGGGUGUUUGAAUCUUGGGACUAAAGUUUAGUCCUUGUCAUAUGUUGGGUACUAAUUAGUAGAAUUAGACAUGAGCUAAUUAUAAAACUAAUUACAUAAGUUGUGGCUAAUUCACAAGAAAAAUCUAUUAAGCCUAAUUAAUCCAUUGUUAACACAUGUUUACUGUAGCACCACAUUGUAAAAUCAUACACUAAUUAGGCUUAAUAGAUUCGUCUCAUAAAUUAGCUACAAUCUAUGUAAUGAGUUUUGUAACUAGUGUAUAUUUAAUAAUACUCUAAAUUAGUAUACAAACAUCCAAUGUGAUAGAAACUAAAGUGAGGGAUGAUAUUAACACCUUGCAUUCAGAGAGAAAACAUCUAGUCGGGUCCAGCUUUAUAAAAGUAUAUAGAUUACAAAGUAACACUAAAUGUGCCUUUUUAGAUUACAUAUAUCUAAACAAUGUAAAUACGCCACAAAUGUUUGUCUUACCUAUAAUAUAUAUUGUACAAAAUAAUUCAGUAACCAUAAAAAUAUGCUAUAUAUAUUUCUAUACACAUUCUACCAUUGUAAAAUUAAAAGUAAGCAUUAAUGCUACGGGUCAUCAUGUAGACAAAGUAAACAUGCUAUUGAUACGAUAAACAAUUUACAAUGAGUCAUCUAGCCAUUUUUCUGGCUAGGAACUCAACGAAAUGGGCAAAACAGCUAUUUAAAUGGGCGUCAAUGGUCGAAUAAACAGAAAUGACAGACCACCAUGCAAUGUUCAAAUGAGGUUUAAGCAGGCUAAGUGAUGGUUUACUCGAACCAUGGUACAAACAUAGCAAAAAACAAAAAAAAACAUUACAACAAGCAUUAGAAAAAACAUAUAGCUUGUUUCUACUGUCCCACCGCAAAAACCACCUAAAGCUAUGAUUAAGCUUUUCAAAAUUUAGGGAUUUUUUUGUAAAUAAAACUGACCCUGUAAAUAUUUUUCAAAACCAAGAACUAAAAUGUUGUAGUUCUUACCUCCAAAUAAUUACAGAAAAGCUUAGAGGUCUUUUUUGUAAAAUUGUCAUUUUCAAAAUGAUUUUAAAUCUAAAAAUGUUAUGACAUAAUCAAUUGGAUUAAUGACAUUAGCAUAUAUUUUUGAAAUGAAUUAAUCAUUUCAUAAGAGAAAUAAUUUGGUUAGGGACUUGUUUGUAAAUAACCUUAGAUAUCUAGAUGGCAAUAGCUCCGCCGGUCUUUUGCCAAAAUAGUGCUUUGGCGGUUGUGAUCAUCAGCAAGCGAUAGAGAUAGCUGAGCAAGCCACGAUGAACAAGGGGAGGUUACCUUUAUAAUGAAGAGGCACAAGAGGAGGAGAUAGGGAGGGUGGUUAGCACCUCUGCUUGAGGUUGGCGGCGGCACAACUGCACAACGAUAGAGGCUGGGCAAUGGGUGGCACACUAGAGUGAGAUUGCUCGGGUGGAGGAAUCUUAUAUAUGGUGGUGGUGGAAUUUCUUGAGGACGCCGGAGAUGGGAGAAAAAGGUUGCUGAAGUCUUGCUAGAAAAAUCGCUAGCAAAAAGUCUUGUUUUAGAUCUAUAGAGUUUUUGGUGAUGCCUCAAGAAAUGGAUUCUAGAUCUGUGAUCAUCGCGAUGAGGACAAAAGGUUCUAGGAAAAGUACUAGAGAUAGAAGGAUGAGAAACUAAGAUUUUAGAGAUCAUUAGAAGUUUUGUUUCAAAGCUUAAAAUUUUAAAAUAUUAGUCUUAAUGGUAGGAGGAAUUGAUAAAUAUUACUCAAGUUAAGUCCUUCUACCCCGGUAUGUAUUCUACCACUGGAUUUUAACUUAUUUGGUUGAUUGCUCUCCCCACCGGACACGUCAGCCUAUACCCUUUCAUGUAGAGAAACACUAGUGUUUGCUAAAGGAAUAUUGAUAUGGAAACUUUUUUUCACCGUUUUACAUACCCGACGAAACACACACCCACGCACCCCAUGACCCAUGAGCCCGCCAUGGCCAACGGCCCAUAAGUGUCGCCGUUGUUGAUAAAGACGAGCUCGCUGGUGUUAGGGUUCUAGGUUUAGGGGACUCCAUGUCCGGCGGCCUUACAAAGGGAAGGGAGCUAGCGGUGGCGGCUAGCCUUGCGGUGGUAGCGGGUUGAUGUAGCAAGCAAGGUGGUGGGGGUGUUAUCGAUCGGAAGGUGGGAGACAACCGGUUGGCGGGGGCGAAGGUCAAGUGUCUUCCUCCUCGUGCUAAGAUUAGCGGAGGGUGAGGUGGUGUGAUGGGGCGGGCCAGCCGCGGCGGAGGCGCCACUGGCCGAGGCGGUGGGCGUGGAACUGUGGAAGGUGGAGGUGGGGUGUGAGCAGGGUUUAGAAAGAUGACGAGGUUGGAGCGGAGGUUAACGAAGAAUAACACAGGACGGGAUGGGGUAGCGCGUGAACCCGUCACGCAUUAACGUGGUCCCUUCAACAUGAGGAGCAGAUCGAGCGCCCAUCACGGCGUGGAUGCGCUCGGCUGUCUUGCACUCUCGCCGUCGCUGUCGUCGUUUGUCCGACGCCCUGAAUAGUAAAUCCUUCCCGGGUUAAACUAAUCGACUCGCCAUCUCCGUUCUCCCGUCGUCCCCGAUUAAACCGAGGUAUAUAUUGUGACUUACAGGACGUGGUGGGCGUGUCCGUGGCCGGACUCGCUCGCUAGCUGCUCGAUCGUGCACGAGCCAGGAUCCGACGAGGUGGUCCUGCUCCGUCGGUGAAGACUCCUCUACUCGUCCCCUUCCUCGUGCAAACCUGCGCCGCACAAGCUCAGCCGUAAGCUGCUCAGGCUGCCGUAAGACGCCGCAUGCAUCCGCCGUCUCUAUCAACUCUCAACCAGAUAGGCUCGUCGUCGUUUGUGAAAGGAUAUAAGUUAAGGACGCCAUGGGCAAAGGACAAAGGAAAUUAAAAGAUAUUUAUUUCAGUUUUGGGCCUUGGACGUACUUUCAGCUGCGUCUGCUUGCUAUUGUAGUCUGGCCUCUCUCACCUGUGGUGUGGGUGCCGCUUGUCGUGACUAUCGAUCUUCCUUGAUAUUGCUAAUUGGCACGACUCAAGCAGAAGAACAAGACAAAAAAAAGUUCACACACAACUUCCUUGUCGUGAUUAUCUUCAUUAAUAUUGCUACUUGGAGGCUUCUCAGUAUAUCUACGUCAAUCCUUAUGAGAUGCGGAAGGAAAAUUGACAAAUCGUGUAGGCAGUUUCAUAAAAAAAAAUCAGAAACAUCUAGCUUUUAAUUUUGUAGAUUUCAAUCAUCGCCACUAGUAAUACACCGUUCGACCUAUUCUCUUUUUCUAAAAAAAAUACCCAUCCGCCUCGACCAUUACGAAAAAUACAUAAACUAUUCCCUAAAGAUGCAUUUAAAUUUCCCAUUUCUCAUUAUGAAAGCUAAAUUUAAAAAAACCUCCUCACAUCGUAUUAUUUAAUUAACGAGACAUGCCGUUAACACUAAGUUUGCAUUUAUAUUACACACAUCUACCAUUAUAAAAAACAAUGUAAAUUCGCUAUUGUCCUACUUAUGCAUCUACACAAUUAACUAAAUAUCCUUCAAAUGUUUGACGUAAUACCAAUAUAAUCCAUUAUAGAAAACAAUCCAAUAACCAUAAAAAUGUCCUAUAUAGAUUUCUAAAUUACACAUUCCUUCUACCAUUGUAAAAUUAAAAGCUAGCAUUAACGUUGUGUUUCACCAUGUAGACAAGGUAAACAUGCUAUUUUAAUAGUUUAUCACUUAUGAAAAAUGUUCCCUAACCGAGAACAUACCAAUGACAUAGACACAAUUCACUUUAAGUUAUAUUAAUAUUUCAUGAUAACACUUUUUGUAGGUUUAAUCAGUUUAUAAAUGUAAAUGAAAUAUUAUCACUUAUAAAUACGUUAAUUUAAUUUAUGCUAUCUAUGUUUUCAUAAUACAAUAAUAUUACUACACUAUACAAUUCUUAUUUGUAGUAAAAAGAUUCAACAUCUUUAGGGUCGUGGCGCAGGUUAAAACAAUUUUUUAUGUUAUUGUAGUAACUAAGAGCCUAGUUAAGGCUGCAGAAUCUAUUUUUGAUUAAAAUAUAAAAUAUAAGAUUGAUAUUUUGAAUAAAAGAUACAAUAAGCACUAGACUCAACUUAACACGUGGAUAAGACAAUUGCAACAACUAAUAAAUCAGAAGUGAAAGUCAAAAUAGAUAUGAAGUCGCAAAAAUGUAUGUGACAAGAGCUAAUAUAACUGAAAUUUAGGAUUUAGCUAAAUACACAUUAAAGGCCCACAGAGGUGUAAUGCAGAUGAUGAAAACACAUAUAGACUUACUGGUAAAUUUUGACAAUCGGAUUAUGAUUCUAGAGUAUCUAAAGGUUUUGUGUUUGUAAGAUGAAUUCAGUGAAUAUAGAGAGUAAAGAUCAUCAUUUUGUUUAGGUUUUAUGUAGACUAUUUGUUUAGAUUUAGUAUAACACAGACACUUACAACCACACACACUAACCCCUAUAAACACACACAUGCAAACCCUAGACCUAUGAGGUACCUUCUAAGACGGGACCGACAAAUCCUCGAGACGAGAUUGAUGAAGUCACCACAAACGCUUUAUUGUCAAUGUGAACAUCAUCUACCACUGAAAUCAUAAAGUCGUUAAAUCCUAGAAUAUUCGCUCCUACGGGGAGUCAAACUUAGGACCUCAGGUGCUAUUGAGGUUCUGUGACCACUAGGCUACAUGCACUAAUUUACACAUAGAACUUCAAAUACAUCCCUAAAUACGAGAAAAUUGUAGAAAUCAUCUGUGUAGCAGUGCAACUUGGUGAUGCAAGCUUUUGUAUAUGAAAAAUAGGAGAAGAGAACAUUGCUGUAUGUAAAUGGAUUUCAGUUAUGCUUUUUUCUUGUGUUAAUAUUCUUAAUAAACAUAUUCUGUCCUGUGCAUGAAAAACAGAGGUUGGCAGCGCAAGGGGGAGAAAACAGAAUGAGAAGAAAGAGGCUCUGAUCCUAACCAUUGCUGGUUGUUCCUUGGAUGGCUGAGAGAUGCUGCUAGUGCUACUACUGCUUAAUUAUGUGCAGUAGCAGCACCCGAUCUUGAUCGCUCACAGUGGUGAGCCAGUCUUUAUUGGGUCUUGUUUAGUUCCGAAAAGUGAAAAGUUUUCGGUAUUGUAGCACUUUCGUUUGUUUGUGACAAAUAUUAUUUAAUCAUGGACUAACUAGGAUCAAAAGAUUCGUCUCGUGAUUUACAGCUAAACUGUGUAAUUAGUUUUUGUUUUAAUCUAUACUUAAAUGUUUCAUGCAUGUGCCACAAGAUUCGAUAUUACGGAGAAUCUUAAAAACUUUUUGAUUUUCAGGGUGAACUAAACAAGACCUUGGUCUAUAUAGACCAUUUUUCCUUUAUAUUGUGGCUGCCCUAUGUGCCUCAUGCAGUCAUGCAGGUCUCUCGAACUGUCACCUAUCUGACCGGGUAACAGUUUGUCUCCCUAGAGAAGCAAAGCCUUGAUCAAUUCCAAUGAAAGUCGUCGGUCCGGAACCCAAGAAAAUUAAGUUAUAGUGUUUGCAGUUCAGGCAGACAUGCAUGCACAACAAUCAAUUGAGCCUGCAGAAGGCAGGCAUGGAAAUGCAAAACCAUAGGCUGCUAUAUAUCCAGCGCCAGCUAGCCCAUGCAUGGUACGUGUGUACGUGCAUCAUCCAUGGCACCAAAUUAAACAGGUAGCCCCCGUCUCGCCUCUAAAUUUUGCAGGGGAAGCAGCAUUGUAGCAAACCCUACUGCCUCGGAUUUAUAUAUUCCUAGAACAAUUUCAUUUAUUGGUCCUGGGUAAGCCAUUUUUCAGUGUCAACAAUACGAAGCUAUAGGCUCAAAAAGUCAAAUAUAUAUUUGCAACAUAAGGUUAACAUUACUGCUAGAUGGACCAUCACAAAAGUACUUUUCAUAAUAUUUACAGAAAAUAUAUCAUGGAGUAAUAUAACUCUAUUUAAGAUAAUAUAUUGUUUGGGAUGUCAUAUGCGAGCAUGGACUAUUACUUUGUAGAUCUGUGUGUUCUCCUAAGGUUGCUAAUAUUAAGCGGUUCGAGAGUACUCCAAACCUCCAUACUGAAUGUUCAUCAGCCUAGUUGGCAUCACAGUAUUAUAUCACCUGAAGGUUCCAACUCACUGAUUACAUCAGCAUCUCCAAGAGUUUCCAAUAAUUUUUCCCAAAACCACAGAGUUUUCUAUCUCGCCAAAAAUUAUUAGGAUGAAUAAAUAAGACCAUCUCCAACAGUUAACAAUAAUCUACUCCUAAAAUAUAAAAAAUAAGUUUUACAUUAGGAAUCCUAUACUAUUUCUAAAUUAUCCAAACCACUUUUACAUAUUAUUUCUCUUUUUUAUAUUUGUAUCAGAAACCAUUUACUACUCUUUAUUAUUUCUCACAUCCUUCCACCUUUAUAGUGGCCGAUGGAUAUGCACGCGCGUGGUAGACGCGUGGAUAUAUUUGCGUGAUCGGUCUUUUUUCCAAGCAUGGAAGGAUUGGGAGGUGAGAUUGGGAACUAAUGGAGAUAGAUUUUUUCCAUUCUUGCCAAAAAUCUUAGAUUGGGAGGCUUUAUUGGGAACUCUUGGAGAUGCUCUAGGAAGCAAUGCUAGCACGAGCCAUAAACAUGCAAGUAUCGAUGUGGAGUCAAUAUGGCAAGAUAUUAGUCUUGCUAUACCUUAAUUGGAUAGCUAGAAUUAUUUACUCUUCCUCUUCUUUGCUUAGUCUAUAACCUAUGCCACCCUGUAAGCCCUAGAGCAAUAAGCCAUUCAAAUGGAGGACGGAUAUCAAUUCACUUGAAACUUUAUAUGGGCUAUGGUUUCAUUCACAUGUUCAUCGACCAAGUGCAGCGAGUGACAUGUGGGCCCCAUUUUCAAAAACCUCUCAUUGUGGCCCCAAGACUCUGCCAAUGAACUCGAGUUGAAUGGAAAGAAAUCACAAUGCCCCACACAACAAAGGGUGAUGGGUGGGCAUAGUGUGGAAGCAUCAUGCUGCAUAUUUAGGAGGUAGAGGUUAUGUGAAGUGGUGGUGUGCAUAGUGCGCAUGAGGGGUCUGGCAGGUAGGCUAGCUAGAGCAUAGUUGCACACUAGUGGCCAGUGGUAUGACCUAUCAAGAUGGAUAGGAAUAGAGUUAGCAAGUCUAAGGCCAGAUACAUAUGGCAAUUUGAAGUGUUUUUGUUUCCACUUUGAGUAUUUGAUUCAAAAUUAUUUUUCACAAAUUUCUCAUGCUCUUUGCUAUGUUAUCUACUGGCCCAUAGUUCAAAUUUAUUUUAUUUCCUUUACCACUGUGCAAGAAUUUGCUUUGUUAUCCACCUGCCAAAGUUUAGUUUGGAUGUAUGAUCUCUUGGAAGUCUUCAGGUCUAUUAAUUGAUGGUGAGGUUGGUUUCUUGGUCAAAUUACCUCAUGCUGGCAAGAUAUUUCCAUAGGGAUGCGCUCGGGCACAACAAGGCACACAAGUGUUGCUGAAUAUGGUGAUAAGGUGUGGAAAAGAUAUAAUUGGACACAUGCGAGUUGUCUAGACACAAUGCAUGGUUCACCAUGUCGAGGAGAUUUGAUACCGAAGAAAGGUGAUAUUUUCAUCGAUUAUGAGGAAGACAUCGAUGGACAACAUGACAACUCAUAUUGUAGGCAUGUGCGGCUUCUUGUGUUGCUCUGAUAGUUCCAAUGGCAUGAGACUAUGAUACAACCAGUGGGGCAAUAUGGGUGACAUGAUGAGUGGAAUAAGUGACAGCGUGGGGGAUGACGAUGCUAGGCAAGGGUGAUGUAUCAGUGAGGCCUGAUAGGUGAAAUGCAACUGAUGCCCUUGGCUAGAGUGGAUUGAGAGGGUAUGGGUGGUGGUGGGGGUGGAUCCAAGUAGGUUUAGGAAAUUAUAAAGGUUUCAUUCUUUUAGAGUAGUCCCAAUGAAUAACUACUUAGUAGUAACAUGGCAUAUAGACACCAAGUAAGAAAUUAUAGCUCACAACAGUGCACAAUCUCUAAUUGUGGCUACAAUGUAAAUUCUCCAAUCAUCUUUUUCAUGUUUCUCCUCCAAUCAUCUUCCUCCCCACUCCCAUAUUCUGCCUUGUUAUUUGUAAUACCAAUUCCAAUAGAUUUCAUGUUGUUUCUUGAACUUUGGUUCUAGUCGAAGGCCUAGUUUCUUGCAAGACACCCAAUUUCUUUAUGUUCUCAUCUCUAUCAUGUUUAAUGUUGUUGGCACCUCAGCAAAAUGUCCAACAUGGCAUCAUAUUAAAUGGCAUGAAAAUUAUCCUCUUCAUAGAAUAAGGACAGCCCUUGGUCGAUUUAGACUAAAUUUAGAAUUGGUUUUCAAUUUGAGUUAGGUUUGUACCAUCAAGAGUACAUUUCACACACACAAUUCAUGAAAGCACAUAAAUGCAUAUUCACUACCGGAAUCCGCAUCUUUGCCGAGUGUUAAAUACUUUGCUGAGUGUUUAUUUUUGGGCACUCGGCAAAGAAACUCUUUGCCGAGUGUCAAAAAAAAACACUCGGCAAAGACUUCUUUGCCGAGUGUCAAAAAAUAAACACUCGGCAAAGAAAAUUUUAAAUCGAAUUUUAAAGCCCUAAACGAAUUCAAAUCAAAAAGUUUUUAACUACAAAGUUGUAUAACUUCUCAAGAUCUACAACAUUUAUUUUGAUCAUUUCUUCAUUUGACAAAGCAAAAAUAAAUUUGUUUACAAAUUUUACAUCUCUCUCUUAUAGUUUAUGAAAUUACAAGAGAGAUAUAUAAAGAUUUUAGAAAAAUAUUAGAAUCUCCAUGUCGGAUAAAUAUAUGACAAAAUAACCAAAAUAAACUCUGUAGAUCUUGAGAAGUUAUGAAAUUUUGUAUUUGACAACUUUUUCAUUUGAGUUCAUCUUGUCAUGCAAAACCACGUUUUUAAUUGAAAAUUUUAAAAUUUGAAUUUUUUAAACAACCUCGGAUGGAAAAGAUCUCUAAAUAAACUUUGUAGAUCUCAAAAAGUUAUGAAACUUUGUAGUUGACAACUUUUUGUUUUGGAAUCAUCUUGUCAUGCAAAAACUACGUUUGAAUUUCUUAAAUUUAAAAUUCAAAAUUUGUAAACAACCUCGGAUGGAGAAACUUCCUAAAUAAAAAUUGUAGAUCCUAAAAAGUUAUGAAACUUUGUAGUUGACAACUUUUUGAUUUGAAAUCAUUUAGGACCUUAAAUAAUCAUUCUACACAUAAUUUGGUAUAAUAUUUGAGGAACCGAAAUACAAUACAAGCACAAGUCAUAGUGUGGUGCAGUGGUUAAGAGGGAGUACGCACAAGCAAGAGGUCACGAGUUCGAAUUCCAUAAACCGCGAAGAUCCAAAAAAUUCCAGAACUUAGCUGGCAAGAAGAGGCCGUUGGGAGCUGGAAAAAAAGAUUUUUUUUUCUCUUUUUUUUCGGAUUUUUUUGGUUUUUUUUGAAUUUUUUCGUUUUUAUCUUUGCCGAGUGUUUUUAGGCCUUUGCCGAGUGCCACGGACACUCGGCAAAGCGUGAGUGUCCCGUAGUGAUUGUUGUGUUUAAUGUAGUUUUUCCAACGUUUAUAGAAUUUCAAAUUGGCUCCUUUUAACGUGGUUUCAAUUCUAUUUGCGCCAAAUUGAAUUGAUUGAUUUAGGCCUUGUUUAGUUCCCAGAAAAUUUUGCAAAAUUUUUCACAUUCCCCGUCACAUCGAAUCUUUAGGCGCAUGCAUGGAGUAUUAAAUAUAGAUAAAAAUAAAAACUAAUUGCACAGUUUAGUCGGAAUUGACGAGACGAAUCUUUUGAGCCUAGUUAGUCCAGAUUAGACAAUAUUUGUCAAUACAAACGAAAGUGCUACAGUGUCGAUUUCCCAAAAUUUUUUGGAACUAAACAAGGCCUUAAGGAUUUCACACUUACAAGUACAUCCUGAUUCAACAAGUUGAAAGACAGAUCAAGAGCCAGAGCUACCACAACGGUAGUUUCCAGUUGCCUGUAAUGCCACUGAUGAUAUCUCAAAUUUGCUAGGGUAUCUAGCGUUCGAUCCACGAUCAAAUAUAGGCUGUUUGUGUAGAUAUUAAAAUGAAGAGAAAGGGAAUAUAGAUCGAUCCAUCAGAGAAGCAUUGAAGCAGUGCAAUAGAUAUAUGUCAGCAAGUUGGCCGUAAAGCAAAUGCAAGGCCGCAAGGGCAAGGGCGGCAUUGGUAGUUAAUAUAUACUGCCACAAACAGGUGCAUAUAUAAAUUAGGUUUUGAAUAAGCUACAGAUAGAUGCGCGUUAUAUAUACUGCAUUGUAGCAAAAAAGGUUAGUCGUCGUAAUAGCUAGGGCACGUACGAGCAUAAGAAGAAUUAUUGCAAAAAAGCAAAGCGGAGAGGGAGAGCUAGCUACACUGCAGAUCGAUAGGCAGCGCAUGCAGCAGCAGCCUCUGCUCCUUACUACGGCCUUGUUUAGUUCACCCCGAAAUCCAAAAAGUUUUCAAGAUUCUCCGUCACAUCGAAUCUUGUGGCACAUGCAUGAAGGAUUAAAUUUAUACGAAAACAAAAACUAAUUACAUAAUUUGUCUGUAAAUCGCGAGACGAAUCUUUUGAUCCUAGUUAGUUUAUAAUUGGAUAAUAUUUGUCAAAUAAAAUCGAAAGUGCUGCAGUAGCGAAAUCCGAAAUUUUUUCAGAACUAAACAAGGCCUACGUUUUAUUGCUCUUGAAUCUCGACGCAUGGACGAAGCAGCAGCAGCCUCCUCUGCUUGACUUGAAUGGUACUGUACGUACCACAGCAGCUCCACUCAGCUGGAUGAUCAUGCAUCAUGCAGCUAUGGCCGUGGAUUCGUCGUCUCGGUAUCCACGCUAGCUGCUAGAGAUUCUUCGGCUUCUUUAUUUGAUGCAUGCAGCAGCAUUCGCUUUGAUAGAGAAAGAUCGAUAGGUCAGAGGGCUCUGGAGAGGAAUGGGAGGGGACAGCAUGCUACAGACAUGAAGCUUAGCUUGCCACCUAGUAUGUAGUGUAGGCCGGCCGGGAACCCAACUUCCAUGCAUGCGUGCAUCGUGCGUGAAUCCAUGACGGGUCACUAGCGCUUUGCAGCAAGCUCAGAUGCUCACGUACUUGUACGGCCUUGUUUACUUCCCAAAAAAUUUUACAAAAUUUUUCAUAUUUCCCGUCACAUCGAAUCUUUAGACGCAUGUAUGGAGUAUUAAAUAUAGACGAAACUAAAAACUAAUUGCAUAGUUUAGUCGGAAUUGAUGGGACGGAUCUUUUGAGCCUAGUUAAUCUAUGAUUGGACAAUAUUUUUCACAAACAAACAAAAGUACUACAGUACCUGUUUUGCAAAAUUUUUUGGAACUAAACAAGGCCGCAUGGACGUCGUCGGACGACACUGCAGACACAGUAGUAUCCUGCAGGAGGAGCAUUCCAUCCCACUCCAGUAUUCACCCCUUGGAUCGAAAUACCUGCAGGCUGCAGCAAUGCAUGGGAGAAAGUGUAGUUGCAUGCUCUCCGGUCUCUACUGGUAGUACGCAAGAAGUAACUUGCAUGGCGCCAAAUGACAAGCUAGUGUGAAGAGCUUUGUCUGCAGCAAAUUAUAUUACUGUAUUUAUCUAGCGAAAUAUUGAGAAUCAAAAUCUUAGCAACUAGUUUAUUAUAUUCAACCCAAAACCGCAAAUAUAUGCACAUGCAUAUUAUUAUUAAUUAAUCAUGCAUGCAUGCACAAUCUCUCUCGAUCUCUCUCCUGUCUAGCUAGUAUAAGGCCCUGUUUAGUUCCCCACCUAAAAAUUUUUCAUCCAUCCCAUCGAAUCUUUAGACACAUGCAUUGAACAUUAAAUGUAGAUAAAAAAAAAAUAAACUAAUUACACAGUUUAGUUGAGAAUCGCGAGACGAAUCUUUUAAGCCUAGUUACUCCAUGAUUAGCCUUAAGUGCUACAGUAACCCACAUAUGCUAAUGAUAGAUUAAUUAUGCUUAAUAAAUUUGUCUUGCAGUUUCCUGACGAGCAAUGUAAUUUAUUUUUUUAUUAGUUUCUAAAAACCUCUCCCGACAUCCUUCCGACAUAUCCGAUGUGACACUCAAAAAAUUUUCAUCCCCAAUCUAAACAAGCCCUAAAUAUGGUAUAGGUCAGAAAAAAAACAAAAGAGCAAGAAGAGAACAAAAUGAAGAUAUACUCACAUAGUUUCCUCCCUCUCCCUCAUCAUAACCUUAUGAUGUGAUGUCCAAUCAGCACCUUAUCAUAAUGUGGUGCCCAAUCAGCAGUCUACAUCAUAUCGGCACAACAAGGGUUGUGUUACAGGGCAUAUAUGAGCUGAGUGUCUCAUUCCCCGGCCCCCAUCCUCUCUCUCUCUCUCUCUCUCUCUCUCUCUACACAAUGGCCGUACUAGCAGGCAGACAAACAUUGAAACGGUUCUGUCCAUAGUAAAAAGGAAAGAGGUUUGAAGAGGAAAUUCAAGAGAAUGAAUGCAUUCAAGUUUUCCAUGAAUGCAAUGCCAGUGGCUAGGGACAGCAGUGCGCAAUAACGUGUCCUCCCAUCCUGUCCCUCCCUCUCUCUCUUCUAUUCCCUUCUGCGCAUUCAAGUAGUAGUAUCUAUCUUGCCCUCUUCCAAAUAAGAUAUCUGUAAAGAUUUAUCUGCAUGUAAGGGCUUCCAAAUCCCCACUAGUAUACAUAUAUAUGACCAUACUAAUUAAUAAAAUGUGACGUCUCACACAUGCAAGUGUUAUGCAUUUUAAUAUCUCUAUGAUGCCAUUUUAGCUGUCGACUAUUUCAUCUCACUACCAUUGUAACCUCCAACAUGGUUCACUUCACUACUACUAUACAUAUAUGAUUUUUACAAACACGUCCUAAUUUUUUGAGGGGGUGCUUAACUUAGCAAACCAUUCCUAACUAGUUCCGAGAGCAUUGUAGCUUACAAAUAAACUAUCCAUGGAAAUAUAUUUUCAGGGCCACUCUUAUAUAUCCAUUUUCAGGGGCACUCUUAUAUUUCCAUAUGGAUGAAUCUGAUGUAGGCAAGAGCAAGCUAAAGAGGGUGAAAACAGUACAUUAGAACACAAAAUACUUCUUCAGGCCAUUCACAUUUCAAUUGUUGGCUCGGCCUUUCUGUUCUGUCGUAGAUCGUUUCUCCCUUUGUGGAAGAACCAAAGUUGAUGCCAAACCGAGUGAAUUAAGCCAAUAGUGAAGCCACAAUGUGUCCACAUCUGAUUGUUAACACGCCAGAUGGAGCUAGCAGUGUACAGUACUUACAAAUGAGAUGUGUGUGUGUGUGUGUGUGUGGGUGGGGGGGGGGGGGGGGUGUUGUGGAAGGUAGUCAGCAUGAAACCAUUUUUUUGAACAAGAAAUUCAUGAUCAUAUUUAUACAAAAGAACUUUCAAAUUUGAAUGCGAUGUGUUGUACGUCUUCUAAUACAAAAUCUACUACACACUUGGCUAUCUUUUUGAUAUAAUAUCGCAAGAUUUGAAUCUUUGAAUGUGUGUGUCCAUGCUUUAUAAAAGAGAAAUAGGGAGCAAUGUGUAUGGAUAAACUUUUCAAAAACUAUACCAAAUUAGGAGAAAUUAUGUGACUUUAUCUAUGAAGAAAUAGACACCAAAAUUCACAUGAACAAGGACUUGAUUGAACCCCAGUGGUCUCUAGGCUUAUUACAUCCACACUCUCAACUAACUAGGUUAGCUACACUCUCAACUAACUAGGUUAGCUAGGAUGUUUGUAAAUGUAAUAAAAAAUGUGUAAAUAUCCUCAUUUAAGUUUAGUAGGAUGGAAUAUCUGUGCAUGCAUGCAAUUUACAUGAGCUCUCUCCCAGCAUGGAACUAUAUCUCUUUCUAAACUUAAUAAUAAAGAGUGAAAUUCUUUUCUUCAGUCUCUCACUCUCUCCUCCAUCCACCCGCCCCUCAUGUAGUCUCUCUUUUACUCACUGUCACCCUUCUUGCUUUGAGUUGGAGGUGCAAAACUUCCGUUGGUGCCACACCACUCAUGUAAUGGUCUAGCCGUCGGAGCCAUUCAUGUUGCGGCAUGCGUGUGAAUGGUGUGGUUCACUUUCCACCUUUUUAUCAACUUACUACAAGUGAAGCACACACAAUAAGGACAUAUUUAAGUUGAUUUAAUCCUCUCUGUCAUUUAUCAGACAAGAUUAAUUCCUGUUUUAUUACAACAUUAACAUUUAUAAUGGGCAUUAGAAUAUGUUGGGCUCCAAUAUAAUUAAACCCAACAAAAAUAUCUAACUCAUUAUCAUCGCCACAAAACGGCACAAUAAUUGUACAUUCCACUGCAAUGGUCAUGCUUGUUAGUAUCCCAAAGAAAGCCAAAGCUAGCAACCCUAAUUAACAUGCAACUUUUUUCUCUCCAUACAAAUUUAUAUUAACCUGCUGUUAGUUCAAAAGUUUGCAUCAACUUUUUUUUCACAUAGCUAGCCAGCUUUUACUUGUGGCAGAGCUUGUAAUUUAACUCUGUGCGCGACCACCGCCAAUUUAUUUCCCAUGGUCAGUAGUAAGACUGUAGCUAGCACUGGUGCCGUUGGUCAAAGAGGAUCACUGCAAAGCUCUGGCCGUUUUGAUGUGCACCAAUUUGUCUCUCACACGCUCCCUUUCUCUGUCGGCCCGCCUUCAUUCAUCUCUCGCUCAUUACUGCAUGCAUAUAUGCGUUGUUGCUUUCACAUACGAUCGACCAUUGGAUCGGCAGCUGCGCAUGCAUGGCUGUCCAUGAUGCUCCCUAGCCCUAGCAGCUAGCUAGCUAGCUAGCUGGCUCUAUAUAACUGGAGGAUCUAGCCAGCUCCAGCUUCCAUCCCAGUCCCAUCCUCGUCCUAGCAAACCUCAAAGACAUAGACUAUACGAACACACGGCAUUUGGCAGCUGAUAGAUCGAGUUGUGUGUGUGCGUGUGUGGGAGAUUGCCUGCGAGCUACAUACAUCAGUAUCUGCAGUAUGUCUAUCUAGCUAUAUUUCCCAGCAAUAUUUUUAGCUCAUGACAGGCUCUGCUGAUCGUUGCAUAUAUGAUUUGCAGGUAGCUAGCUAGAACAACUUCUUAGAACACAUAUAUAGCUAGCUGUCGUCGUUCUGCAGUUAGCACACACACAACCAAGCUACCUAGGAUCGAGAUAGCUAGAGGCGUUGAAUCCAUUGAUCGAAUCGCGAUCCGAUCCAUCCGAGCUAGCAUUAGCAAUAGCAUCGCCGUCCACAUGCCGCAGACACCUUCGACCCGCUGGUGCCCGACGCCGGAGCAGCUGAUGAUCCUGGAGGAGAUGUACCGGAGCGGCGUGAGGACGCCCAACGCGGCGGAGAUCCAGCAGAUCACGGCGCACCUGGCCUACUACGGCCGCAUCGAGGGCAAGAACGUCUUCUACUGGUUCCAGAACCACAAGGCCCGCGAGCGCCAGCGCCUCCGCCGCCGCCUCUGUGCCCGACACCAGCAGCAGUACGCUCAGCAGCAGCAGCAGCAGGCCACCGCAGCAGCGCCGUCUUCGAGCCCUCUUCCGUCUCCAGCAGCAGGCGGCAGCAGCGCUGGUGUGCAUCCGGCGGUGAUGCAGCUGCACCAGCACCACCACCCAUACGCAACCAACUUCGUGCCACACCUGGUUAGGAAUUUUAAUUGUUCACGUUCCAGUAUUAUUCUAGCUAAGAAUCUUCAAAGUAUCAAUUUUAAUUUUGCAGAAGCUUGCUAUAAUUGCAUGCUUGAUAAUGUAUCUAUAUGUCCAUAUGUUAAUCAAUCGAUUAUUAGGGCUACUUGGGACAGCAGGCGGCGACUGUUCCGCCAGUGCUGAACCCAGCUGCUGCCGGCAUGGUGGACCUUGCAGCUGCAGGAGCAGGAGCAGGAAAUAAGGCUACUGGUGCAGGUGGUGGCUAUGGAGGUGGAGCUGCCUUAUACAACAGCUGCAGCAGCAAUCAGCUGGAGGAGUGGGACCCCGCUGAGGCCAUGGAGCACUGCAACGCUAGCUGCGGUGCCGCAUCGGGCAGCUCCGACGAGGGUGGCGCAGCUCAUCUCCAGCUGCCGCCAUGCUGCCGCCGCCCUCUCAAGACCUUGGACCUGUUCCCCACUAAGAGCACUGGGCUCAAGGACGAGUGCAGCAGCUCCAAGUCCUCCUCUUGCUCCACAUCCACCAACUAAUUAAUCAUUAUUAUUGAAUCCCUUUAGUUUCUAUAUAUCUUGCUUCUAGUAGUUCUUUGAUUUGCUAGCUAGCUAGCUAGAGUUAGUAGAUUUGGUCUUCUCAAGUGUGCCAUUAUAUUGUUGUGUUGUGUGUGCUCGCAAAAAAAUUGUUGUGUUGUGUGUCACGCUACCUCUACUUUGCUUGUUAGUGUAACUACGUUUAAGUUUCAGUGCUCGACUUCAAUCUAUGUGUAUCUAUCUUAAUUCAUGCAAUGGAUUUGUUUUAGCAGACUGUGACCUAUAUGCUCCAUUUACUCAAUAGCGAUGAGCGAAUGAACGGAUCGGAUGACUUAUAAUAUAUGGCUAUAUAUGGUUUACCUUCUUCCUCUUCUCUAGUGAUGAUUCCUUUAUUAUUGAGAGUAUAUAAAGUCUAGUCGUUAUCUUCUCCUAAAGUUAAUUGCAAUGUGAAGGGAUGAAGACUAAGAAAUUGCCACAUCAACUCAGAUUAUUCAUGCAACUCCAUAAGCAUGCACUGGACAAUGAUUUUUUUGAGUCAAGAGUGUAUGUGAAUAAAUCCCCACACACCACAACAUUUCAAAGGAAAAAAAAGACUUGCCACUUGCAUGGGAGUGCUAAUCAUUCCUUUGAAUAAGAAAUACAUUUUAUUAGGAUGUGGGAGUUCUAAUCAUUAUUUUGAAUCAACCAUACAUCACCAAAAGCGGCAUUUCUCAAUUAUCAGGACUCAAGGAUGUAAGGAUGUGCUUCAGUCUCCCACCAAAUUUCAGAAUAUUUUGACAAAAUUUGAGUAUUCCUUCCAAAUUUUCAUAUGAUCGUAAAAUUUAUCCACAUACUUUCAAAUUUCUAAAGCUCUAAUAAUUUUAUUAAUACAAAUAUUAUUUUCGCAAUUGUUUCAAAUGAAAACAAAAUAAUGCCACUCCAUUAGCCUUGGUCGAUUUUAGUCCAUUUUGUUCCAUCCUCCGUCAUACCUUGUUUCAGCCCAUGCACCUUCUCAUUCCUUCACGGCUGAAAUGAGACAGGAGAGAGGAGGUAAAGAAAUUGGUUGAAAUCAGCACAAUGCUAAGGUAUUUUAUUUAUUUUUGAUUAAAAAUAAUUACUUCUUGAGCUCUAAAACGUAUAAGAACAUUUCAAAGUACAUUUAGGACAUGAAUAACUUGGAAAGUAUGCAUGUGCAACCAUGAUUACUAAGAAGAAUAAACAAUCCACCAUUCAUGACUCUGUUUAAUAGAUUUACAUAUCAAUGUAAAUUCUAUAAAUAAUUUAGUAAUUUAUUAUUUUUUAUGUUGCAGAAGACAUGUGUUUAUAGUUAGCACUGAUUUCUUGCAGCGACAAUUUACAUAAGAAACCAGCUCUAACUAGAAUAGGGAGCACCGUAGCUCAUGGUCACUUCAAAUCCAUUUGUAGGGGUAGUUUCUUUAAGAAAACUGUACCCUAAAAAAUAAUUUCUAGGUCUUAUGAGUGAAACAACGCUAGAAAUUUCUAGGGGUGUUUCUCUUAAUAGAACUGCCCCUAAAAAAUAAUUUAGAGGACUAGUCCAUUAUCUUAGUGAACCAUCCCUGAAAACUUCAUAUAAAUCCUCCUUUCUUCCUUGCAACAACUCUAUAUAUCACUAGGAGGCGGUGAUGCUUAAGUACUAGUUUUUUUUGACAACAUACAUGUUGAUAUUGUGGAUUGCUUGUUUUGGGAUGCCAUUUCAAUUUUUUCAGUAUCUUUUCUGUCUUAGCAGAAAGUUAGGAGAUCUUCAAUAGCAGUUGUAUGAAUAGCUAUGUUGUUAAGAAAUUGUUCCAACAAGAUGAGAUCAUCAUUCCUUCUCAAAGUUAAAGUCAAAAAUUCUCCCAGAGAGGAUAGAAAUACAUAUAAUAUUUUAGGAUCUGUUGGAUAAAGCACAACUCAUAAAAACUUACUAGAAAAGCAAGCCCAUGAGCUUGAACUUGAAAUUAUGGUUUGAACAGCACAACUCAUAGAUUAAAUUUCUAGAUUGCAUUAAGAAUUACAACUUUGGUACAGGCCAUGUUGACAUCCGAUGUUGAUUGAAAAUUCUAAACUAUAAAUUUCAAAAUUUGAGAGCUACAAACAAACUUUCUUAGACUCUAAAUAGUUUCAGUAAAAAGUUAUCAUAUAUGAAGUGGUAGAUUACGUCAAGCCCUGUAAUUUUGCUAUAAAGCUCAUCUUCAUCCAACUUCAUAUUAAAAAGUUUUAAGUUUUGUCAAACAAUAAUUUCUAAAUAUGGGCCACUUAAGAGUGCUACAUCAAUUAAUUGAUCUCUACAGCUGGCAUUAUUAGGAAGCUACUAUGUGAAAAUAACCAAUGAUAGGUGUGUGUUUGCCUAGGGACUCUAUGUACAUCUCAGUUAAUCAUGGCAUAUAUCUUCUAAAAUUACUUUGUAGUAAUGCUCGUGGUGUUGUUUCACUGAUGUUGUCUAGCAUAUGGGCUGGUUUGACCCUCUUGCAAUGGUUCAUCACUCGAGCUAGUCAUUUGUCUAGGGUGGACCAUGGAAUAUGGUGAAUUGGUGAGUGAUUUUUCUAGAUAUAAAGGAAACUUUAGUUUGAGAUGAAACAUUAUUGUGACCUCUGCUUAAGCUAGCUAUACACAACUAAAAUAAAAGAAUAAAAAUGAUAACAUGCAAGAAGAGUUUGACUCCACUAUUCUCUAAGCAAACUUAGAAUCUCAUACUCAACAUCCAGCUCAAACCACCAAUAUAACAAAUCUACAAUCUAACUUUUGAGAAAUUAAAGCUUAACAUCUUUGCAUCUAUUUGAAUGUAACAUGAAGUGAGGUGGUCAAAGUCCACAAAAGCUUUAUCAUCCUCUUGCAAAAGAAGUUGAUAUGCAUCAAAAGCAUCUCACAUGUAUAUGAAGUCCACUAGGUGUCCUCUAUUAACUAACCAACCAACAUGUAGCACAUGACUAGCAAUCACAAAUGAUGACUGAUAUGACUAGACAAAAUGAUCGUCAUUCAAUUGAGCCAUAGUUAGCUUCUUUCACAAGCCACAACAAUUUGGACUAUCUGCACAUGUGCUCAAGAUACCACUAGGAGAAGAUGUGUUGCUAAUAACACCUAAGGUCUCUCCCAAUGCAACACUUCCCUUGAGGAAAAGACAUCCAAGGAUAUCAUCAUUGCAUGACCGAUUGAAAGUUAUAGAGUUUUCUCUUAGAGACAUCCACACCCAAGUAGGAUUGUGAACACAUUAUGGAGAUGUGUCAUGUGUGUGAUGAAUGAUUGACACAAAUAUGAGAGGUUUGAGGCUUUCUUUGCUGAGUCAUAUUUCAUAUGUACUUGAUUAUGUUAAUGGUUAACCAGAGGUGUAUAGUGUGUUGUGUUUUGUUGUGCAACAUGUCUCUUGGCUUGUAAUGUGUAAGUGCUGAGAGCGCCAAGACGGUCGACAACAAUAGAGAAGGUCAAGUGUAAAGUCCAUGUGUGAUUGGUCGGGAGUGGUGAAGGACGGAUGAGAAGGCAUGGAUCAAGGGACUAGAGGCUAGAGGACAGACAAUGUGCAACUUACACUAGGCACAUGAAGAGCAAUAGUACAUGGGGAGACAACAUCAACCAAGUCAAGGAGGAGGAUGGUGUUGUGGCACUUGGCAAAGGUCAAACACGCAUCUACAUGGGUGAUGGACAUGGUGUCAGUCAAGUCAAUAAGGAAGGCAAAGGAAAGAGCUUGGCGGAGGUUGAACACAUGUUGAAAAAUCAUGGAGUCAUGCUUGGUGAGGUGUGCAUGAGGGUUUGCUAGUUUUGUCCUCAAAACUAGGGAUGGAGAGUUUGCUUGUUUGGACCUUGUUGAUAUUUCUUAACAUCAAGUUGUCAUCCCUAGCAAUGAUGCCAUAAAUGUCUUAUUGGUAUUUAUUCGUUUUCACUUGUAAUUGAGGAAACAUUAAAGUAAUCCGCAAGCACACAAAUUAUAUAUCAUUGUAGCAUUUCACCCAGGAGUAUUCCAUGUAUCGUUAUUUAUAUUUUUACCACAGGGAAUGACGGGCAAAGAAAUUAUAUUGAUAACUAAUAUUCUACUCACAACAUGGGUAAGAUAGAAAAUAAGAUAUAUAAAAGGCAAUGAUCAUUGACAAUAAAUAGUUAAUCACUCAGAGCACUCCUUUCUAUGGCAUUAGCAUGACUAAGUAGAUAUUAGAGAGACAAUUCCUAAGUCAUCCUUAAUUACAAUUCAAUGCAUAUGAUGAUUAGUGCAACUACACUUAGUAGUCAUGGAUAAGAUCAACUUUAUAUCUACACAUAAGGGAUAUUACUAAGGAAGAUUAAGAAUAGGGCAUGUCUUCCUUUGUAACUAGAUCCUACUUGUUGACCUAUAUUCGGGGAGUGGACUACAUAGGACUCAACAGGAGUGUCACAUCCGUGAUGUAAAAUAUAGGGUGUAUCCAUUGGUAAACAAUGUAUAAGCACCACGCUUACAUAAUAUCGACCACUCACACCAUGAUCAUUAGUGUGAGUGCUAUAUGAACUUAUGCUUGAAUAAAAUGAUCAUCUAGCUAUACUAAGUAUAUAAUCAAAGUAGACAAUGAACAUGAUAAUUAGGAACAUGAAUGAUAUUAAGAACAAUAUCAUACCAAUUGUAGCAAACAUAAAAAAGUAAUGAGACAUACAAAAGAGAGGGGGUACAAAGGCUAUACCAAGCCACACUCUUGACACGAUCAGGAAUCUAGGCAAAGCUUGCAUCUCUCUAGAUCUAACCUAGCUAGGUAUGCCCUAGAAUAUGGUGUAGUUUUGAGGAUUAGGGUUUCUGCCUUCUGCUUCUAACUUGAAUGGCUUGAAUGCCUGAGAGAGGGGGUAGGGGCUAUUAGAUAUACCCCAGAGCAUCAAUUCUUAGCUCUCAGAUCGUACAGACUUGAAAGAACAAUGUAGAUGCAACCUAGGAGGUGGUGGAGAACUGACAUAACAAGAUAGAGUCCGAUAGGUGGGCCUAGAGGUUGGCGAAGCUUAGAUGGGACUAGCCGACCCCACCUAGAGGUGUCUCACUAUCUUCUUUGGUGGUUUGGCUUCUGGUGUCCUCUGGAACCUUCUAGAGUUCCACCUUGACGGUUUUCUAGAUAUCCCUAUAGAAAAUACAUUCACCAAACUCUUGGAAUUUGUUAGUUUAAACCCCUAAGUCUAUGUUGGUGAUUAUUUUCAUGCAUUCUCCAAGUUAUAUUAAUAGUUUAUAAUGGUUGUUGACUACCAUCAAUAGACCUCAAAGCCAUCAGAGGAGGGUUUGCUAGUUUGGGACUCAAAACCAGGCAUGCAUGGUUGGAUGGUUUGUGCCUCAAACCAUCAGCGACGGAUUUGACUGGUUUGAGCCUCAAAAUAGGGGAGUGGAGGAUCAAUGGACAUGUGGUGGAGUCUCAAAAGCUGGCUUCAAGGCAGAGCAGAGUCGACAAGGCAUCAGGUCUAUUACUCUAUGUAAUACCCGAUUUUAAGGAUAAAACCACAUAUGCACCAUAUGCGAGUUUUAUAAGGCAAAUCUCACAUAUAGUUACAAAUAAGGGGUAAUAUCAAAAGACAAUGCAUAAAACAUAUAACGUACAUAAUAUAAAAGAGAUAACCUUUGAUAGCAAACAGCGGAUAUACAACUCUAAACUUCAGGUAUUAACUCUUCUCCACAGGAUCCAACUGACUGGUUGAUCACAAGCCCAAAACUUCUCCUGAGGUGUGGGGAAAAUUGCAAGAGUGAGCACAUAUCGUACUCAACAAGUAUAACCAGGGGUUCAUGAGGCUCAGUUAGCUGACACUGGUUUAACUGCAUUUAGCUUUUAUAUGUAGAUAGCAUAUUUAAUCAUUGGAUAGCAAAUAUCAAGGUAGCAUAUUAAAUCCCAUAACCACAUGAUCAAUGUAUACAAGAAUUAAGAAUAACACAAAUAAACAACAUAAUAAACCAUCAUUUAUUAUCAUUAAUCAUGUUCAUCAGUGUCCAUCUAUUCCGUCAGUUUUCCGGGCCGCCCGUAUCCGUGGGCACGACUAGUAUACCAGAUUUAACACUCUUCAGAGGUUGUACAUCUUUACCCAUGAGUCAUGAUUUACCCUUUCGCCCGAGGCCCGUCGACCUCUUAGCUCACUUUCAAGGAAAGCCGGCAGGGUUCACUAUGAAGUCUUUCAAAGGUUCGUCUAACAAGUUAGGACCGCAAGGUUUCCUUUGCGCGCAAAUAUAGAUACCCCCCUUCCAAAUGGCACAAUGACGCGCAGCCUAUACACAUAAGGACAGGGGCUCGCACUAUACCCAAAACGGUUCAGCCCCUCCGCCCUUUCGGGUAACCUCUAACAAGCUAGAAAAGCUUACUCAUACUUGACUAAAGCCAGAGCCAUAUAGCCCUCAUGGUUGUACGAGUUGUCUCAGCUUUUGCCAAGGGAUAAGUCCUUAUGGAGGGUCAAGAUCAAUCCAGCAAAAGCCAGAGUUCUUUCCACCCUUUAUGUUCAAGUUGCUAGAAAGCUUAUUUUAUCGUUUAUGGUAUAUUCAAAUAUUCAUGUUACAAGAUCAUGGAUUAAUAAUCAAGCACUAGCAAGAACUACCCAAAUACAUAUCCAAAUAGGUAACAAGGAAUUCAUGAUAAUAAUCAUCUAUGAUUUUACUAGGGUCAUCAAGGUGGACACAUGCAUAUGAUAAAUGUUAUAUUAAUUGUGUAUAGGUAACAAGGAUAGUCCCAAGUUAUACUUGUCUUGAUCAAAGCUCUCCUGAGCCUGCUGCUGGUCGUCAAAAGCUUGACCUUGAUCACCAACUUAUCACUCACCGUCUAUACUCGAUCAUCGAUCAACAACACGCAAUCCAAUGUAGACAAUCAUACACGAAGCAAACAAGCUAUAAUUAGAACAAUACACCAAACAUUGGUAAAAUAAAUAUAAAAGUUUACCAAAAUAUUCUACGCAGCGCUACGAUCACACAAACAUAAAGUUCACGAAAAUCGGAAUUAAAACGGUGAAGUUAUGAAUUUUCCAGGAUUUUCUAUAGAUAAAUAAUUAAUUAAAUGCUACUGCAAAAUUAAAAAGUUUCAAAAUAGAGAAUAAAUACUUCUAACAUGUAGAGCUCGUAAAUACGCGAAAUUUGAAUGGAUGAAAACGGAGUUAAAAUGAGUAUUUUAUGACCAAAUCAAUUUCAAUGGCAAAACUGUAAAUAACAGAAAACGUAAUCUGCCUAAGCCGAACCAGAAUACGUUUUUAAACGGAGAAAGCGUAUUCUGCGCAAGCCGCCAAGGACUGCGGAGUAAAUACUGAAAAGUUUCAGGGAUUCUUUAUGAAGUUUCGCAGCGAAGGGGUAUGCUUUGUUUUGGGCCCUUGAUCCCAAAACGGAUGGCUGGCAGACGAUCUGGGGAAGAGAGGGGGGGGGGGCGGCGACGACUGGCCGGAACAGUCUUCCACGGCGGCGCCAUUGGAGCGCCUCGCCGGAGCUCGCGCUGAGGCAAUUUCUAGCACCAGGGAACAAGGGAAAAGCAUCAGGGGGUGGAGGAGCUCACCACGAAUCCUCCUAGGGACUUCACUUGGGCCGAGAGGGAGCAGGGAGAGCUCACCGCGGCGCCGUUUGGAUUAGAGCUCAGCGAGAUCUAACUGAGCGUCGGGAAGGAGCUAAAACCGAUCUCGGUCCUUUGUAGAUGGAAAAAGGAAUGCGUUGAGGGAAAGCCAAGGCUAAAUAGGGCUCGGGAAAAUCAAAUCCCAUGGAAACCGGGAUUUGAGGCAGAGCCUUCUUCGGCUUGGAGCCUUGGAGUCCCAGCCGCCCACGGUUCACGGAAGAAGAAAAGGGAAUGGAGGAGGAAGACGAUGUCGCGUGGGGCCCAGUCGUCAGCGAGAGAGAGAGCGGGUCCCAGUUGACAGCGGAACAGAGGAAAGGUGUAACACCCAAAAUUUGAUUUUCAAAUAAUAGGAUUUAAUUUAAUUUAUUUAAGUACUUUUGUGGGCAUAGAAAUCUAGCAACUAAAUAAUUGUGUGGGAAUUAAAAUUCAGUAUAGGUUUAGCAACCUUGAUUGAGCAUUCAUGCUGGAGCAUCUUUAUUUAUUUGUGCUGCUGGUAUAUGUUGGAUUUUAUUUGCUCUCAAAAUUUGAUUUUAAAAGGCUUUGGAAAAUUAAAAAAAAAAGAAAAAAAAAACAGCCGGACUCGGCUUGGUGGCCAAUUGGCCGUGAGGCCCAAACUGGCCAGCAGCGCGCGCACUCCCUCCCUCUCCCUCCUUUCUUUGGCUGACGGUUGGGGCCCCCACGUCAGCGCCCUUUCCUUCUUCCUCCCUGCCGUGCUCGAGCAGGAAACGAUUCCUCACCGAAUCGGAUCCGCGGAUCCCGCGAUUUCCUUGCCAAGCGCGCAAUCCGACCACUAUAAAGCUUCUAGCAUCGCUCCCUCGACAUGUUUUCGCAUCUAGGUCGCCAAAACCGAGUCCCCGUGCCUUGUUUCGCGAGUUCUGGAUCUCGCCGGGAGCUCUUUCCGCCGCCGCGCGUGGACACGCCCCUCUGCUAGCUCUCGGCCCGAGCCAAGCCCCCAGCUUCGUUCGCGGUGAGCUUCUCGCCCUCCCGGUAUUUUCCUUUCAAAAAACGGUGCUCGGAAAGGAGAAGCCGAGGAGCUCCGGCGAGUUUUCGCUCUCCGGCCAUGGCGGCCACCGCAUCGGACAGGGAGAGGCCAGCCGGCCACCGCCAAGGACCCCAGGAGCAGCUCGUGACCAUCCAACCGACGAUCAACGGCCGAGAUUAGAACAUACCUGUUCGCAGGGAAUUUUCAUAAAGAGUCCCUGGAAAGAGUGGUUAAUUACCCCGCGGUCCCUGGCGCCCUGGCACAGAUUACGUUUCCUUUGAUUGAAAGCGUAUUCCUGUCUGUUCAACUUGGUUUAUGUUUUCAGCUAAUUACAGAACUGCCACUGAACUUAGAUAGCUUAUAAAAUAUUCAUUUUAACUCUGUUUUUGUCCAUUCAAAUUGCGUUAGGUUCGUAAUUAUAUGCUCUACAUGAUAGAACUAUUUAUUCUCUGUUUUGAAACUUUUUAAUUUUCUGGUACUAUUUAAUUAAUUAUUUCUCUAUAGGAAAUCUUAGAAAAUUCAUAUCUUUCACGUUUUAAUUCCGAUUUUCGUGAACUUUACGUUUGUGUGAUCGUAGCGCUGCGUAGAAUAUUUUGAUAAACUUUUAUAUUUGUUUUACCACUGUUUGGUGUAAUGUUCUAAUUAUACCUUGUUUGCUUUGUGUAUGAUUGUCUCCAUUGGAUUGCGUGUUGUUGAUUGAUGUUUGGGAAUAGACGGUGAGCUGUACGUUGGUGAUCAAGACCAAGCUUUUGAGGACCAGCAGGCUCAGGAGAGCUUUGAGCAAGGCAAGUAUAACUUGGGACCAUCCUUGUUACCUAUUCACUUAUAACUACAUAUAUAUAUCAUAUGCAUGCUACCACCUUGAUGACCGUAGCAAAAUCAUAGCUGAUUGUUAUCCUGAAUUCCUUGUUACCUAUUUGGAUAUGCAUUUGGGUAGUUCUUGCUAGUGCUUGAUUAAUAAUCCAUGAUCUUGUAACAUGAAUAUUUGAAUAUACAAUAAACAAUAAAGUAAGCUUUCUAGCAACUUGAAUAUAAAGGGUGGAAAGAACUCUAGCUUUUGCUGGAUUGAUCUUGACCCUCCAUAAGGACUUAUCCCUUGGCAAAAGCUGGGACAACUCGUACAACCAUGAGGGCUAUAUGGCUCUGGCUUUAGUCAAGUAUGAGUAAGCUUUUCUAGCUUGUUAGAGGUUACCCGAAAGGGCGGAGGGGCUGAACCGUUUUGGGUAUAGUGCGAGCCCCUGUCCUUAUGUGUAUAGGCUGCGCGUCAUUGUGCCAUUCGGAAGGGGGGUAUCUAUAUCUGCGCGCAAAGGAAACCUUGCGGCCCUAACUUGUUAGACGAACCUUUGAAAGACUUCAUAGUGAACCCUGCCGGCUUUCCUUGGAAGUGAGCUAAGAGGUCGACGGGCCUCGGGCGAAAGGGUAAAUCAUGACUCAUGGGUAAAGAUGUACAACCUCUGCAGAGUGUUAAAUCUGGUAUACUAGCCGUGCCCACGGAUACGGGCGGCCCGGAAAACUGACGGAAUAGAUGGACACUAAUGAAUAUGACUAAUGAUAAUAAAUGAUGGUUUAUUAUGUUGUUUAUAUGUGUUAUUCUUAAUUCUUGUAUACAUUGAUCAUGUGGUUAUGGGAUUUAAUUAUGCUACCUUGACAUUUGCUAUCCAAUGAUUAAAUAUGCUAUCAACUAUUAAAAGCUAAAUGCAGUCAAACCAGUGUCAGCUAUUUGAGCCUCAUGAACCCCUGGUUAUACUUGUUGAGUACGAUAUGUGCUCACUCUUGCAAUUUCCCAACACCUCAGGAUAUGAUAAUGAAGGUGACUGGAAUGAGGAUUAUCGUUAUGAGUACUAGGUUUGGAGUCAACCAGUCAACAGUGUCCCUGUGUGGAGCUUCCGUCGAGAGCGUUGUUUAAUAUUAUUAUCAUUUUUGUGUAAGACUAUGUGAUUUAUUAUGUUCCGCUAUGUAAUAAACACUGCAAUGGUACAAUUGAGAUUUGUCUACUUAUGUGUGCGACUAUUCCUGGGGCACAUAUGAGUCUUUUAUGCAUCCUAUUUUGUUCUUAAAAUAUGGGUGUGACAAAUUGGUAUCAAAGCUUUGUUGACUGUAGGACGCAAACCUAGUUAGCAAAGGGUCAAAAAUUUAGGUCCUUACUUUACUUACUUCAUGCUUCCCACUAUGGUCUUGUUAUUUGCUAAAAGUUUAUGCUUCUCUAUCUUGCUCUAUUGUGAAAUUAUUGCAUCCAUCUGAUCUAUGUCUAAAAACUUUUUGUAGAUGCCGCCUCGUACCCGCAGUGCUGCACGCAUGGCUGCUGAGGAGUACCGUGCCAUGUUCAACCUAGGAGGACAACGUGUGGAUGGAGUUCCUGAGCUGGAGGAUGAGGAAUCAAGGGUGGAAGCUCAGGAGGAAGGACCUGAGGAUGAGGAGAUGCAAGAUCUACCUCCACCACAGUCUGCUAAUGCAAGGAUGGGAUGGACUACUGAGCUGUGGAUUCCAGAAGCAGAUCCCAAGGCCUUCUUCCAUGAGAAUUUGGUGUUAACAUUGAAACACCAUUACCCGGAUUUGCAAGCCACACUGGAGUAUAACUGCACUGAGCACAAACACCCGCUGAGGAGAUCACUUUGGGUUGCAGAGCUGAUAGUCAAGACACUGGAUGCCACCAAGGGGAUUCGAAAGGUGGAAUCAAAACACAUCGCUCGAAUCAGCCGGGACACGAUGAGAGAGAGCAUGGCAGAUGCAGCUUACCAGGCCUUGGUCUUUUACCGUGGUAGACGUUUUGAGGAUGUUCAGUAUAAUGCAACAUACCACUAUCCUCGCUUUGUACCAGAGAAGAUGACUUGGGCCAUAGAAGUUGCAGAUGCUUCACAACCAAAGCUUCAAGCACAAGUGGAGUUGACUUAUGAGCUGACACUCAAGGUGAUAGAGUUGGAGAAUGAACUACACCGUGAGAGGAAGCUGUUGGAGAAAGAGCAAAGGGAAGCGGAUGACCUUCGAGCGGAGUUAGGCCGCCCCAAACUUCAUAAGAGGCUGCAUGUUGAACCCAUCUUGAAGGAUGCUGCACCCGAGGAAUAGAAAAGAACCCAUAUGUAAUAGGAACGUUAGUAGUUUACGAGUAUUUCGAGUCUUUUGCUAUUGUGGCAUGAACUUGGUGUGCUUGCUGAUUUGUUAUUAUGAAUAUGUGUGAUUUGGAUUUUUGUAAUGAGUGCUGGGACUUUGUGGGCAUGUCCACAAGUUCCCUAGUUAAGAACCUUAAGUAAGAACAUGAAUAAAUAGUGGGUUGGGGUCAUAUCCUGUUUCUGUCUUUUGCUGUUUUCUGGAGCAGUCUGCAAUGAUUCUGGAAUAAAUCAAAUUCUGCUCGUGCAAUGUUCAUCAAAUUUUUCUGGGAAAAAGUAGACUUUCAUAUAUUUCCAAUGCCGCCAGAAUGACCAUAUUAUCUAUUAUGAGCUGUGAGUUAUGACUGUUUAAAGUUGAGGUUUCUGCGCAGUCUGGAAUUCUGGAACAGUUUCGGUUGUACCCAGUUUUUGGUUAACCUCACGUUGGAAUCUGGUAAUAUGACCUAAAUGAAAGUUGUAGACAAUUUCUUUAUCUUUCCAACGAUGUACAGCAUGUAUCCUUUUGAAUUCUGGAACUCGAGAUAUUACUGAUUUUCUGAUCUGCUGAUGUUGGAUGUUACCCAGAAAAUUUCAGACUCAGUUAACUCUUGUAAUUGUCAUGUUGGACAUUACUAAGAUGUGUUUAUAUACCUUGGAAUGCAGAUGGCAGCAAGGGGAAGAGGCAGAGGCAGAGGCCGUGGCAAUGGCAAUGACAAUGGCAAUGGUGGCAAUGCCCCAAUCACCGUGGAGGAACUCAUGCAAACCCAAAAUCAGAUGAUGCACGUUUUCAUGCAGCACCUGCAGCAACAACCUCCACCAACACCACCACCUGUUCAUGUGAGGGACAAGCGUGGAGAGUUUAUGAAGGGAAGACCUCCGGUAUUUACACACUCAGCUGAUCCCAUGGAGGCAGAUGAUUGGUUACGUGCUGUGGAGAGGCAGCUAAACAUAGCACAGUGCAAUGACUUGGAGAAGGUGUUGUAUGCUUCUGGACAGCUUCAAGGUGCAGCUCAGACAUGGUGGGAGUCGUAUCAAGCUGCUCGUCCCAACAAUGCUCCUCCUGUCACAUGGCUGGAAUUCUGUAGGGACUUCAGAGCUCGACACAUAAAUGAGGGAAUGAUGGAGCUCAAACAGGAAGAAUUCAGAUCACUCCGGAUGGGCUCCAUGACAGUGGCAGAAUAUCAUGACACGUUUGAACAGUUGGCUCGCUAUGCCCCGAAUGAAGUCAGGGAAGAUGCUGAUAAGCAACGCUUGUUCAUGAAAGGCUUGUACUAUGAACUCAGGUUGCAGUUGGCAGGAAACACUUAUCCUACCUUUCAAGCUCUUGUGAAUCGUGCUAUCGUGCUUGAUAAUAUGCGGAAGAGUCAGGAUAAGAAGAGAAGGAUGCUGGUACAAGGAUCUGGGAGCAACAACCGUCAGCGUUUCAGUUCUCAUCAAGGCCAUCAGCAGAGGUUCCAGGGACCAGUUAGUCAGUGGAACCGUAACCAGCAACCCCAGCGUUUCCAGAAUCAGUCGCAGAGUGGGAACCAACGUCCUUCAUUCCAACAACGUAACUACAAUCAACAGCAGCAUGGUCAGCAGACACCUCGCUCAGGAAACUCAAAUGCCAACUCCACAAAAAGAAGUGCUUCUAACACUCCUACCAGGUGUUUCCGUUGUGGGAAAGAGGGACACAUGUCAUAUGAUUGCCCGGAGAAGCUCAACAAGCCGAACAACAACCAGAAGUCUACUGCUUAUGCGGCAACAGUGAAUAAUGUGGCUACAGAGACAGUUCAGGAGGGACCAGAGAUCAUGAUGGGUACGUUCAGCAUCAACUCUAUCCCUGCUACAGUUUUAUUUGAUUCUGGAGCUUCGCAUACAUUCAUAUCACAAGCAUUUGUUAGAGUUCAUAGCCUUCCACUAGUUGCAAUGAAAACUCCUAUGCUAGUUAAUUCACCGGGUGGGACUAUACCAGUUUCUUUAUGUUGCCCCUCAGCAAGUCUUUCUUUAAGGGGGGUAGAUUUUCCUAUCAGUCCCAUGGUUAUGAGAACUUCAGGCAUAGAUGUGAUCUUGGGUUUGGAUUGGAUGAAGCAACAUGAAACAAAUAUUAAUUGCAAAGAGAGAGUAGUGGCUCUGACAACACCAAAGGGAGAACGAAUCAGUGUUAAUGUAACAGUGCAAGCACCACUCACAGCCAAGGUGAACCAACUGAAUGAAGAUGUUGAUCCUCAGAAUUUGGUAGUGGAUGAGUUUCCGGAUGUCUUUCCAGAUGAAUUGCCAGGUAUGCCACCUGACCGAGACAUUGAAUUUAUUAUUGAAUUACUACCUGGUACUGCACCCAUAGCUAAAAGACCAUAUAGAAUGGGGGUUAAUGAACUAGAAGAACUUAAGAAACAAAUUAAGGAAUUGCAAGAUAAAGGGUUCAUUCGCCCUAGUUCAUCACCAUGGGGUGCACCAGUUAUCUUUGUUGAUAAGAAGGAUGGUAGUCAGCGGAUGUGUGUGGAUUAUCGGUCACUUAAUGAGGUUACUAUCAAGAACAAAUACCCAUUGCCUAGGAUUGAUGACUUGUUUGAUCAACUAAGAGGUGCUUGUGUGUUCUCUAAGAUUGAUUUGCGUUCUGGUUAUCAUCAAUUGAAGAUUCGGAAUUCAGAUAUACCAAAGACAGCUUUCACAACAAGGUAUGGGUUAUAUGAGUAUACAGUUAUGUCUUUUGGUUUGACCAAUGCACCAGCUUACUUUAUGUACAUGAUGAAUAAAGUAUUUAUGGAGUAUCUUGAUAAGUUCGUGGUGGUCUUUAUUGAUGAUAUUCUGGUAUUCUCUAAAACCAAGGAAGAACAUGCUGAACAUCUGAGAUUGGUCUUACAGAAACUUAGAGAACAUAAGCUGUAUGCUAAGCGUAGUAAAUGCGAGUUUUGGUUGGAGGAAGUUUCUUUUCUUGGUCAUGUUGUCUCUAAUGGUGGUAUUGCAGUGGAUCCUAGUAAGGUGAAAGAUGUGUUGAAUUGGAAACCACCUACAGAUGUAAGCGAAAUUCGCAGUUUUCUUGGUCUAGCUGGUUACUAUCGUAGAUUCAUUGAAGGGUUCUCAAAACUUGCAAAGCCUAUGACUGCUUUGUUAGAGAAGAAUGCUAAGUUUGUAUGGUCUGAUAAGUGUCAAGCUAGUUUUGAGGAGUUUAAGAAGAGAUUGACUACUGCACCUGUGUUGGUAUUGCCAGAUCUGAGUAAGAGUUUCUCUAUCUAUUGUGAUGCUUCUCGUCUGGGUUUGGGUUGUGUUCUUAUGCAAGAAGGUAGAGUUGUUGCUUAUGCAUCCAGACAGUUGAGGAAACAUGAACUGAAUUAUCCUACUCAUGAUUUGGAGUUAGCAGCUGUGGUUCAUGCACUCAAGAUUUGGAGACACUAUUUGAUUGGGCAUAAAAGUGACAUAUAUACUGAUCAUAAGAGUUUGAAGUAUAUCUUCACCCAGACCGACUUGAACUUGAGGCAACGAAGAUGGUUGGAACUGAUAAAGGAUUAUGAUUUGGAAGUGCAUUAUCAUCCUGGGAAGGCGAACGUCGUAGCCGAUGCACUUAGCAGAAAGAAACAUGCUAAUGAGCUUCGGGCGACACCUGAAUCUGAAGAGUUGUGUGCUGAAUUUGCAUAUUUGAACUUGGGAAUCGUAGUAAAUGCUAUGGAGAUUGAGGUCACUCCUACUCUAGAGGAAGAGAUAUUGAAAGGACAGUUGGAAGAUGAGAAACUGAAGGAGAUAGCACAGAAUGUGGUACUAGGAAAAGCACCAGGAUUCAGAAUAGAUGACAAUGGUGUACUAUGGUUUGGAAAAAGGAUAUGCGUUCCAGAAGUGAAGGCUAUUCGUGAUAUGAUUCUGAGAGAGGCUCAUGAGUCAGCAUAUUCCAUUCAUCCUGGUAGUACUAAGAUGUAUCUAGAUCUGAAACAGAAGUACUGGUGGUAUGGCUUAAAGAGAGAUGUGGCCGAAUAUGUUGCUUUGUGUGAUACUUGUCAGCGAGUGAAGGCUGAACACCAGAGGCCAGCUGGACUAUUGCAACCAAUGAAGAUUCCUGAGUGGAAGUGGGAAGAAGUAGGCAUGGAUUUUAUAGUGGGUUUACCUCGUACACAGAGAGGAUAUGAUUCAAUAUGGGUAAUAGUGGAUCGAUUGACUAAAGUUGCUCACUUCUUGCCAGUCAAAACCACUAAUUCAGGAGCUCGACUAGCAGAGUUGUAUAUGGAGCGGAUAGUUUGUUUGCAUGGAGUGCCUAAGAAGAUUGUAUCUGAUAGAGGCACUCAGUUUACCUCUAUUUUUUGGAAAGCAGUGCAUGACUCAUUGGGAACCAAGUUGAAUUUCAGUACCGCGUAUCAUCCACAGACAGAUGGACAGACUGAGAGGAUCAAUCAGAUAUUGGAAGAUAUGUUGAGAGCUUGUGCCUUGCAGUAUGGGACUAGUUGGGAUAAGAGUUUGCCAUAUGCAGAAUUCUCCUACAACAACAGCUAUCAACAAAGUCUUAAGAUGGCACCGUUCGAGGCACUAUAUGGUCGGAAGUGCAGGACACCUUUGUUUUGGAAUCAGACAGGAGAAACUCAGGUGUUUGGUACGGAUGUGCUUAGACAUGCAGAACAACAAGUGCGAACCAUCCGGGAUAAUCUGAGAGUUGCUCAGUCUCGUCAGAAAAGUUAUGCAGAUACACGUAGGAGAGAACUAGCUUUCGAGGAAGGUGAUUAUGUCUAUCUAAAAGUGUCACCUAUGCGGAGUGUGAAGAGGUUUAAUAUGAAGGGAAAGCUAGCUCCAAGGUAUGUUGGUCCGUUUAAAGUUUUGCAAAGGUGUGGAGAAGUAGCGUAUCAGUUAGAGUUGCCUGAAAGUUUAUCUGGCGUGCACGAUGUGUUCCAUGUGUCACAACUCAAGAAGUGUUUGCGUGUACCUGAGGAGCAAUUACCAUUGGAAGAACUUUCUGUUAAAGGUGAUCUCACUUAUGAGGAGUAUCCGGUCAAAAUAUUGGAGACAGCUGAGAGAGUCACCAGAAGUCGGGUCAUCAGAAUGUGCAAAGUACAGUGGAAUCGACAUUCGGAAGCAGAGGCAACUUGGGAAAGAGAGGAUGAUCUGAGGAAGUCAUACUCAUAUCUAUUCGAGUAAGCACCGUUCAAUCUCGAGGACGAGAUUCUUUUAAGGGGGGUAGAGUUUGUAACACCCAAAAUUUGAUUUUCAAAUAAUAGGAUUUAAUUUAAUUUAUUUAAGUACUUUUGUGGGCAUAGAAAUCUAGCAACUAAAUAAUUGUGUGGGAAUUAAAAUUCAGUAUAGGUUUAGCAACCUUGAUUGAGCAUUCAUGCUGGAGCAUCUUUAUUUAUUUGUGCUGCUGGUAUAUGUUGGAUUUUAUUUGCUCUCAAAAUUUGAUUUUAAAAGGCUUUGGAAAAUUAAAAAAAAAAAGAAAAAAAAAACAGCCGGACUCGGCUUGGUGGCCAAUUGGCCGUGAGGCCCAAACUGGCCAGCAGCGCGCGCACUCCCUCCCUCUCCCUCCUUUCUUUGGCUGACGGUUGGGGCCCCCACGUCAGCGCCCUUUCCUUCUUCCUCCCUGCCGUGCUCGAGCAGGAAACGAUUCCUCACCGAAUCGGAUCCGCGGAUCCCGCGAUUUCCUUGCCAAGCGCGCAAUCCGACCACUAUAAAGCUUCUAGCAUCGCUCCCUCGACAUGUUUUCGCAUCUAGGUCGCCAAAACCGAGUCCCCGUGCCUUGUUUCGCGAGUUCUGGAUCUCGCCGGGAGCUCUUUCCGCCGCCGCGCGUGGACACGCCCCUCUGCUAGCUCUCGGCCCGAGCCAAGCCCCCAGCUUCGUUCGCGGUGAGCUUCUCGCCCUCCCGGUAUUUUCCUUUCAAAAAACGGUGCUCGGAAAGGAGAAGCCGAGGAGCUCCGGCGAGUUUUCGCUCUCCGGCCAUGGCGGCCACCGCAUCGGACAGGGAGAGGCCAGCCGGCCACCGCCAAGGACCCCAGGAGCAGCUCGUGACCAUCCAACCGACGAUCAACGGCCGAGAUUAGAACAUACCUGUUCGCAGGGAAUUUUCAUAAAGAGUCCCUGGAAAGAGUGGUUAAUUACCCCGCGGUCCCUGGCGCCCUGGCACAGAUUACGUUUCCUUUGAUUGAAAGCGUAUUCCUGUCUGUUCAACUUGGUUUAUGUUUUCAGCUAAUUACAGAACUGCCACUGAACUUAGAUAGCUUAUAAAAUAUUCAUUUUAACUCUGUUUUUGUCCAUUCAAAUUGCGUUAGGUUCAUAAUUAUAUGCUCUACAUGAUAGAACUAUUUAUUCUCUGUUUUGAAACUUUUUAAUUUUCUGGUACUAUUUAAUUAAUUAUUUCUCUAUAGGAAAUCUUAGAAAAUUCAUAUCUUUCACGUUUUAAUUCCGAUUUUCGUGAACUUUACGUUUGUGUGAUCGUAGCGCUGCGUAGAAUAUUUUGAUAAACUUUUAUAUUUGUUUUACCACUGUUUGGUGUAAUGUUCUAAUUAUACCUUGUUUGCUUUGUGUAUGAUUGUCUCCAUUGGAUUGCGUGUUGUUGAUUGAUGUUUGGGAAUAGACGGUGAGCUGUACGUUGGUGAUCAAGACCAAGCUUUUGAGGACCAGCAGGCUCAGGAGAGCUUUGAGCAAGGCAAGUAUAACUUGGGACCAUCCUUGUUACCUAUUCACUUAUAACUACAUAUAUAUAUCAUAUGCAUGCUACCACCUUGAUGACCGUAGCAAAAUCAUAGCUGAUUGUUAUCCUGAAUUCCUUGUUACCUAUUUGGAUAUGCAUUUGGGUAGUUCUUGCUAGUGCUUGAUUAAUAAUCCAUGAUCUUGUAACAUGAAUAUUUGAAUAUACAAUAAACAAUAAAGUAAGCUUUCUAGCAACUUGAAUAUAAAGGGUGGAAAGAACUCUAGCUUUUGCUGGAUUGAUCUUGACCCUCCAUAAGGACUUAUCCCUUGGCAAAAGCUGGGACAACUCGUACAACCAUGAGGGCUAUAUGGCUCUGGCUUUAGUCAAGUAUGAGUAAGCUUUUCUAGCUUGUUAGAGGUUACCCGAAAGGGCGGAGGGGCUGAACCGUUUUGGGUAUAGUGCGAGCCCCUGUCCUUAUGUGUAUAGGCUGCGCGUCAUUGUGCCAUUCGGAAGGGGGGUAUCUAUAUCUGCGCGCAAAGGAAACCUUGCGGCCCUAACUUGUUAGACGAACCUUUGAAAGACUUCAUAGUGAACCCUGCCGGCUUUCCUUGGAAGUGAGCUAAGAGGUCGACGGGCCUCGGGCGAAAGGGUAAAUCAUGACUCAUGGGUAAAGAUGUACAACCUCUGCAGAGUGUUAAAUCUGGUAUACUAGCCGUGCCCACGGAUACGGGCGGCCCGGAAAACUGACGGAAUAGAUGGACACUAAUGAAUAUGACUAAUGAUAAUAAAUGAUGGUUUAUUAUGUUGUUUAUAUGUGUUAUUCUUAAUUCUUGUAUACAUUGAUCAUGUGGUUAUGGGAUUUAAUUAUGCUACCUUGACAUUUGCUAUCCAAUGAUUAAAUAUGCUAUCAACUAUUAAAAGCUAAAUGCAGUCAAACCAGUGUCAGCUAUUUGAGCCUCAUGAACCCCUGGUUAUACUUGUUGAGUACGAUAUGUGCUCACUCUUGCAAUUUCCCAACACCUCAGGAUAUGAUAAUGAAGGUGACUGGAAUGAGGAUUAUCGUUAUGAGUACUAGGUUUGGAGUCAACCAGUCAACAGUGUCCCUGUGUGGAGCUUCCGUCGAGAGCGUUGUUUAAUAUUAUUAUCAUUUUUGUGUAAGACUAUGUGAUUUAUUAUGUUCCGCUAUGUAAUAAACACUGCAAUGGUACAAUUGAGAUUUGUCUACUUAUGUGUGCGACUAUUCCUGGGGCACAUAUGAGUCUUUUAUGCAUCCUAUUUUGUUCUUAAAAUAUGGGUGUGACAAAAGGAGGGGGGGGGGGGGGCGGCGCCGGAGCUGGGCCGGGGUGCGAUCGAAAAGAAAAAAGAAAAAGGGGAGAGAAGCUGGGCCGCACGUGCUGGGCCUGAGAGGGGAAACUGGGCUGCGGGUGGGAGGAUGGGGUGGCGCCAAACAGAAGGGGUUUUAAUUCGCUUCUUUUUUUAUUCUUUUAUUUCAAAGCUAUUUCAAAACAGUUUAAAACAAUUUUGAACUUUGCUCAAAAUCACACAGUACAAAAAUAUAAAUGCUCCAGCAUGGGUGCACAUACAUGUUACUAAAUCCUAUAAUGAGUUUUGAUUUAAUGAAAUAUUAUUUUUCCUAUAUUUUCAUGAGCACAAACAUACCCAAUUAAAUCAUUUUUCACCUAAUUUAAAAAGAGCAAAUUUUUAGGGUGUUACAAAUCUACCCCCUUAAAAUGAAUCUCGUCCUCGAGAUUCGGAAGAGGCACGGAUUCCAAAAGAGAAGCAUAAACAAGAUAUUGAUCACUAUUUCAACUUCACAACUUGUAUUCCAAAUGCAAGCACUUAUGUCUCGGGAUCACAACUUGUAAAUCAAGGUUUUCCGCAGAAUGUCUAUUAUUCAUAACUGAUUAAAGUCCAUCUUGACUACCAACUUUUUGUCUUACAACUCAAAGACAUGAUAACUUAGCAUGGAUAUGCCUCCUCAGGUAGGAGCGGACCACCUUGAUACUCAAUUCUUUACCCUGAUGGUGUGGUUAAGAAAAGUUUCCACUAGGUAGCAUAGAUCACUCCUUUGUGCGCACAUAACCAUCCAUUGACAAGAACCAAAGGAAUGUCGAGUGACUCUAGCACAAUGAGGUUUACAGUAAAGUUUUCCUUUUACACUUCCUUCGUUGUGGAUUCAGAUUUGAUUCAAUGUCAACUUGCUCUUCUAUAUUGUUAUUUUGAUAGUACUCAGCAUUGUCAUAAUCAUAACAUCUUUCUUCAAAGACAAGAUGAUCAUACUCUUCCCACAUAUCCAUGAGAGGUGUCAUAUUGUGGUCCUAAUCCAUGGGACACUACACUCCCCGUGACCAAUGUCAGUAACUCAGCAUAAAUCGUUGAUCGUAACCAUAGAAUAUCUCAGAAGACAAUUAUCACUUCAAAAUGCAUCAUCCUAUGAUAUCAGGGUACUACCCCCUUAAAAUGAGAUUGAUUGGGCACUACAAGAAAUGUAUGAUUUUUUGACAUAUUUAGUAUGACAAUAGACCGUGAUGUCAUUAUAUCAUCCAGAUUAUGACAUUAUGUAAUAGGCAUUUUGACCUAGUGACAUAAAAAAGUUGGAUGUCAUAAUAAAUGUCAUAGAACUAUUCUAAUUCCAUACCAUGUCUUUGCCACGUCAGCAUUAUCUUACGUGGCAUUUGCCAAAAUAGCACAAAAGAGACACCUUAUUCAGUGACUCGAAAUUGAAACACGUCACUAAUGUAAGAGCGAUGACGCAGAUAAAUAAAACAAGUCACUAGUUGGGAGUCAUCCCUGGCUAACAGACAAAAUGCAUGAUGCGUUCACAGCAACACGAGUCGCUGAUAAAGCAGGAUUGUUGGCAGUGACGCGUUCCUGCAACUCGUGUCUCAUAUCACCCUUCAUGGACCCGAAAAAAUAAUGAAAUCCGGUUAAAUGGUGGAAACUGAAGUCCGACACACCUUCCUCUCCCUCGCGUCUCUUCUCGGGCCAUCACCCUUUCUGGCCUUCUCUCUACUGCACCACAACACUAAUAUAGCGUCACACGUGUGUCGUUAUAAGUUCACUAAUACCAAUAAACUGUUGGCCGUUAUAGCUGGCCCACAGAUCAAAUGUCGGUAAAUGUAUCUAUUGCGUUAAACCAUCUGUCGAUAUAAAUAUUUGGCUGUAUAGUUGAACCAUCGGUCGAGAUAGAUAAACAAAGAGAACGAACAUUCGGUCAGUAUAGAGUGAUGCGUGCUUUGAAAAAGAAAAAAAGACAUGUUCCCUUUCAUGAGAAAAUAAAGAUGGGCCUUCAUGCUACCAGCCCAACUGAACACGACUCCCUCAACCCUAACCCCUAACCCCCACAUCCAGACUCCCCUCAGCCGCCACCCCACACCUCUCUCCGUCUCUUCUCUCGCCUCAAUACCACAGCUGCCGCUGCCGCUGCCGCUUGGCCUCUCUCCACCAUCGCCGGCCUUCUCCCGGCCUCCCUCUCGCUGAGCCUCCUCCUCGCCACCCUCGAACCGCCCUCCCCUUUCCCCUGCAAACCCUGCUCCUCCGCCCCUGCUUCCUCGUCGCCGCGGCGCACAUGCCGUCUCUCCAUGUUGUGCGCAUGUGUCCAUCCUAGUGCUUGGUGCAGCGGCUGUCUUCUUCGAGCACAUCCGCAAGAUCAGAUGCAUGCACUCGUAAGUCAGCUUCUGUGUUCCCGUGGUCAGGCGUUGGCGGCCAGAUCUACGGUAGCUCGGGCGAGGGCGGCCGGAUCCAUGGUGCCAUCUCCUGCGCCCCCCCACCAUGCCUUUGCGUUCAUCUCCAUGGCAGCAGAAGGCACACACAGGCACCACCGCCACUAAGCCCACCUGCGGAAUCUCCGAGAAGGUAGCAGCGAACCACUACCACAAGACUACGUCUGCCAUCCUCAUACAGGCAGCGUAGGUACUAAUCCCAAUCCCAGUCCCCCAUCUGAUCUCCAUUCCUAGAUGGAUCUGAUUUAUCCCUUUUCACAGUAGGUAGCUGAAUUGUAGCUGUCAAACACUCGUAACCUUGAGAUACAGGUGUUGGAUCUGAACUCAGUAGAAUGUUUCAGUCUACUCUUGGGAGGAUUUGGGCAAUUUACCCAUAUUGUUUUGCUACUAGAACAGUCUAAAUUAUUUAGAAAAAAUAUUAAGCCUAUUGACUAGGCCUUUUGCCCUAAUACAGAAAGUUUGUUUUUAACUCUACUAGUGGAACGCAUGACAUAUAACACUGCAGCAUUGGAUACAUGUAAACCUAGUAUGAUGCUGUGGUCCACUACUGUCUUGUUUAGAACAUAAGAGUGUGCCUAGGAAAAUAAUGAUGUAGUUUAAUUAGGCUGUUCUUCCGAGCAGAGACACUUAUGAGCCCAUGAGGGAAAAUUCUACUCCAAGGAUGCUGGCCACUCUCCCGUCAAUAUGUUCUCAUCAUGAGUAAAUGGCAGCAUUUGUGGUUAAUUCAUCAUGAUUAAAUGGCGGCAUUUGUGGUUAAUUUCGUUGACUACUUUCAGAUAACUAGAUUACUUUAGUGCCUCAUUAAGUCAUUAGUUGGUUAGCUAAUAAGCUUGAGUUAGUCCUAUAUUACAUGCAUAUCAAGUUAUUUUUAGUUCAGCAUUGUUGUGUGGCACAAACAUAUUUGUUUCAAUAUAUGCAGCCUUGGAUGUAGUCUGUUAUGCUAUUAGAGGGUUGCUCAAUAUAUGCAUUUGACUAUUUGUUUCACAUGUUAUACAGGUGAACAUUCCUAAGACCAAGAAGACCUACUGCAAGAACAAUGAGUGCUGGAAGCACACUCUGCACAAGGUGACUCAAUGCAAGAAGGGUGACGAUAGCCUAUCAGCACAAGGUGACUCUGCUAACUUUCUAAAUCUUUGUACUCCGUGGCAAGCUCACUAUAGUUCAUUUUCACUGGAGAGUUCAUUUUCUUUAACUGAACAUACAGAAUUGUUUACACAAUUCUUGUUUGAUGACUAUUAGCUAGUGAUCAUAUUCACUUCUUGCAGCUUAGUGGCUUCGAAAUUCCAUUACAGAAAUAGAAUUACAAUACCUGGAGGAAACCAUGAGAGCACACAAAUCAUUUUAGUGAGUUUACAUGUACUAGUAUUUGGAUUUUUUAUUUUGACUCAUAAUUACAGUUGUUAUAUAACCUGCUGAUGCUUCUGUGAGUUUACAUCAAUAUUUGGGCUGUCCUAGUGAUAAUACUGCUAGGUGCUAUUUUCAUAUUCAUUGACAGUAGAUUUUCAUACUAGUUAGUAUACAGUAUAGGCUACUAGCAGUAGCACUAUAACCUGUCUAGGAAGAUAUGUCAUGCUACUCUGUCUUUCUGAUAUCAUACAUAUGUAGACCAUAGUUUCUCUCUAAUUACUCAAACUCUGUAGGGAAUAGCUCAUAGCUACCGAGCUAGUUAUUAUUAAUAUUACUAGAAGUUGCUUCAAUCUUGUUAUGUUCUAUCUGAACAUAGGGUUUUCUUGCAUGUUAAUAAAAAACUUAAAAGUUACAUGGACCAAUCACCUCUAUGUAUGCAUAGAAAUAAUUUCCUAGAUACAUGGACCAAUCACCACUAUGUAUGCUAUGCACCUCUAGACUUGACAACUACUUCCUGUUUUGUAGAAAUUGAGCAAAAUGACAUUUCUUACAUUUAUGUCUUUAAUUAACUAUCUGUUGUAUUGUUGUAGCCUAGAAGCAGUUGGCCUACAUUGAGCUGAGAGGAAAGGAAGUAGCUAGAAGGUGGAUACUCUAUGUAAUUACUUACUGUGAAGUGUAAUGUGAUGUGUGAACUAAUCUGUGUACUUGAAGUGUGAACUAUCUAUACUGCUGUGAGAUGUACCAUAUUGUGAAACAUGGGAUUCAUGAAUGUACACCGUGGACCUAUUUUUUUUAUUUCUGUAAAUUGUUAUCAAAGACGCAUUUUGGCUAUAUGUGUCACUGCUAUCUUCACAAAAGUGACGUGCCCUUUCCACGUCACUAAUGACCCUCUGGACGUGUCACUAAUAUGCUUUUCUGGCAUAGUUAUUAUGACAAAUAACCAAUGUCAUACCUUAUGACAAAGAAUAUACAGAUGUCACAUGAUCCAUUUAUGACAGUGAUUUUUGGACAUAUAGUUUUUUGUCAACUAAUUGUCACAACUCUUAUAUUGUGACAUUAUUUUCAUAUGUAAUAACAUAAAUAGAAAGUCAAAAAAUCACAGGAUUCUUGUAGUGGGGGGACACUAGAGACUACUUCUCCUAUCCUUUCUAGACGCUACACAUCAUAUAGUCUUUUAAAUUUGCUGUACCGAGUCUCUUAAUCCAAGGUUAGUUUCAUCACUAAGUUCCAACUAUCGGUACCUUUAUCACAGUUAAGUUGCUCCACUCUCACACUAUACAUACAAAUCUGUAGACUUUGGUGUCAUCUGAUCCUCAUACACAACUCUUAAUCCAUGAGUAUCAGUAAUGACAUAAACCUCCAUUAGUAUUAGCACACUCCAAAUAGAAUGAUAUCUUGAAACAAACCAACAUACCAAGCACUUGAUGUACUUUAUAGAUGUUCCAGUCUUUAACCACUUCUUCUCCUUGUAGCUUCUUCAAUUGGGCUACCCCCCUUAAGGAAAGUCAACCAGGGGACACCAGAAAGGUAGCUUGCACGUUUCGAGAUAAGUUAACUAACAUUGAGAACCUCUGACGUACCAAAGAACUUAUGUGUAAGGGGAGAACAAACAAGUAUCCUGAAAUUUCCUCGUGAUAUGAAAACACCAGCGUAGUAAAAUAGGUAUAACUCUUAUUCUGUUAAUCCAAUAGAGUUGUAGCUUAUACCGUUAGAAAGAUUAUGAAAUUCACCACAACUUUCAUGUAGAAUACUUCCUCAGGUUCUGUCUUUAAACUUGAGUAAAACAGCCAAACUUAAUAUCCAUCCUAACACUGUCUCAGCAAAGGUGCAGUAACUUCCAGAAGUUAUAGCUCGAGCUACUUAACUCAUCUUGAGAUGAUCCUUACAUUUUUGAAAAGCUUAGGAAAUCCUCUACAACUUUCAUAUACAAUGUUUUUCCAGAUUCUGACUU